GAUGAACGCUGACAGAAUGCUUAACACAUGCAAGUCUACUUGAUCCUUCGGGUGAUGGUGGCGGACGGGUGAGUAACGCGUAAAGAACUUGCCUUGCAGUCUGGGACAACGUCUGGAAACGGACGCUAAUACCGGAUAUUAUGAUUGAAUCGCAUGAUUUAAUUAUGAAAGCUAUAUGCGCUGCGAGAGAGCUUUGCGUCCCAUUAGUUAGUUGGUGAGGUAACGGCUCACCAAGACGAUGAUGGGUAGCCGGCCUGAGAGGGUGAACGGCCACAAGGGGACUGAGACACGGCCCUUACUCCUACGGGAGGCAGCAGUGGGGAAUAUUGGACAAUGGACCAAAAGUCUGAUCCAGCAAUUCUGUGUGCACGAUGAAGUUUUUCGGAAUGUAAAGUGCUUUCAGUUGGGAAGAAGAAAGUGACGGUACCAACAGAAGAAGCGACGGCUAAAUACGUGCCAGCAGCCGCGGUAAUACGUAUGUCGCAAGCGUUAUCCGGAUUUAUUGGGCGUAAAGCGCGUCUAGGCGGUUUGGUAAGUCUGAUGUGAAAAUGCGGGGCUCAACUCCGUAUUGCGUUGGAAACUGCCAAACUAGAGUACUGGAGAGGUAGGCGGAACUACAAGUGUAGAGGUGAAAUUCGUAGAUAUUUGUAGGAAUGCCGAUGGGGAAGCCAGCCUACUAGACAGAUACUGACGCUAAAGCGCGAAAGCGUGGGUAGCAAACAGG
Molecule: ribosomal RNA, 724 nt
Filed under: uncultured bacterium
Lineage: Bacteria
Description: bacterial SSU rRNA
Rfam family: Bacterial small subunit ribosomal RNA
Source: RNAcentral